AACGCUGGCGGCGUGCCUAACACAUGCAAGUCGAACGAAGCAUUAAAGUGAAUCCCUUCGGGGUGAAGCUUUUAUGACUUAGUGGCGGACGGGUGAGUAACGCGUGAGUAACCUGCCUUUCAGAGGGGGAUAACAGUUGGAAACGACUGCUAAUACCGCAUAACGUAUCGGAACCGCAUGAUUCUGAUACCAAAGCUGAGGCGCUGAAAGAUGGGGAUGCGUCUGAUUAGGUUGUAGGCGGGGUAACGGCCCACCUAGCCGACGAUCAGUAGGGGUUCUGAGAGGAAGGUCCCCCACACUGGAACUGAGACACGGUCCAGACUCCUACGGGAGGCAGCAGUGAGGAAUAUUGGGCAAUGGGCGAAAGCCUGACCCAGCGACGCCGCGUGAGGGAAGAAGAUCUUCGGAUUGUAAACCUUAGUCAACAGGGAAGAAGAAAGUGACGGUACCUGUGGAGGAAGCCACGGCUAACUACGUG
RNAcentral lists this ribosomal RNA (478 nucleotides) under uncultured bacterium. Its description in RNAcentral is "bacterial SSU rRNA". It matches the Rfam family "Bacterial small subunit ribosomal RNA", at positions 32 to 507 of the family's 1533-position model. The record is from RNAcentral.